This 406-nucleotide ribosomal RNA is filed under the name uncultured bacterium. RNAcentral describes it as "partial 16S ribosomal RNA". It matches the Rfam family "Bacterial small subunit ribosomal RNA", at positions 30 to 526 of the family's 1533-position model. The record is from RNAcentral.
AUUGCACGCUGGCGGCAGGCCUAACACAUGCAAGUCGAACGAGUGGCGGACGGGUGAGUAAUGUCUGGGAAACUGCCUGAUGGAGGGGGAUAACUACUGGAAACGGUAGCUAAUACCGCAUACCAUCAACUGUUCCCAGAUGGUAUUAGCUUGUUGGUGAGGUAUCGGCUCCCCACGGCGACGAUCCCUAGCUGGUCUGAGAGGAGGAUCUGCCAAACUGGAACUGAGACACGGUCCAGACUCCUAAGGGAGGCAGCAGUGGGGAAUAUGGCACAAUGGGCGCAAGCCUGAUGCAGCCAUGCCGCGUGUAUGAAGAAGGCCUUCGGGUUGUAAAGUACUUUCAGCGGGGAGGCGGUACCCGAAGAAGAAGCACCGGCUAACUACGUGCCAGCAGCCGCGGUAAUAC